This is a non-coding RNA of Taeniopygia guttata (zebra finch), 2751 nucleotides long. The record is from RefSeq and is a predicted model, not a curated record. NCBI's taxonomy places the organism in Eukaryota, Metazoa, Chordata, Aves, Passeriformes, Estrildidae.
UGUUUCUAUAAUGAAAUUUAAAGUAGUCUAACUACUUGCUUCUCACCUGAAACACAGGGGUGGUUUUUAGCCUGCACUCCAUCCUGUGCUGUUGUGACUAUGUUUUCACAGUCACAAAGCUAUGCUAUAUAAGAAUCUGUCAGUACAUCAACAAUUCCUACCCUAAUGCAAAGCAGUUCUAUUUAUCUUUUAUUUCAUUCCAGACAAACUCAGCUGGAUGUCACAAGAACUCUGUAGUAGUAGAAGGGGAAAACAGAUGCAGAACACAGACUUGUAUCUGAACUCUUCCAAGCAUCCAGUGCUGCCUUUUUGGUUAUGACUUGCUGUGACUCAUAUACUACAUUCAUUCCAAGAUACAUUUAGUCACUGGCUGUGGUAUAAUCAUUGUUUCAGUUCAUUUCAUCUUUAAAUUUAAUACCUACAAGGGGUGUAGGGGGAAGAUGCAUCAAAAUGCUCUGAUAAAUUGUUAUUGUAAGAAGUAAAGAAUCAAUAGGAUGUCUGAGAAAUAUGUCUGAGAAAGUAAAGUAGUCUCUUUAUAAUGCAAAAAGCUCUUUAACAGUUAAAUUUUGCAAGAGGCUGUCAUGGAAAUUGAGGCAAUAGAAAUUUCUACUGUGGUUUAAAACCUGCUAUGAAGAAUAACAUAGGCUGGAAAUAUUUCAUGUUUGAAAGCAACCAAAAGCACUUUCAACCUGUGUAGCCGUCUCUGAUUUUGCAGUGAUUCCCCUCAAAAGUUUAGUGUCUUUACAAUCAAAUGUUCCUGUUUUUAAAACCUUUCUUCUUUUAGCGUGAGAAAGUCUCUGAGUAAUAGGAGAAAUGACAAAAUAAGUGAUACUGAAAAGAAGCUGGUGCAAUUAGUUAUUCAUGAGAGUUGUCCAACACGCUGCAUAAACCACACUGAAAAAAACAGAGCAAAGCUCAAAUUACAGUAACCUUACAAUGACAACAAUAACCAACACAGUUUUGAAACACAAAUGUGAACUCCUCUACCGAGUUUUUUUUCCCAUAAAAUUGGAAUCUGUCGGUGUGUUGGAAUGUGCACUCAGUGCACUGCAAAAGAGCUUGAGAACCUUCUCAGACAAUGGCUUGAAGUCUUCUGCAACAGUCAAGGAGAGACAAUAAGAGAUGGCAGAAUUAGAUAGAUUUCAGAGGUUGCAAUCAAACUGGAGAACUUCAGUCUAAAGGCCUGCUACUAUCAGAUGAGCCUCCAAGGUGAAACCUGACCACAGUGGAUUUGCAUUCACAACCAAAAUAAAAUGGUUCAGUCUGGUGCUGUACAGAGAUCCCAGAACCUGACUCCUCUGUUUUCCACAUCAGUGUGACAGACAGCACAUACUCCUGGUUUCCUGAGCUCUGCUCUUUCUGGCUAACAGAAAAAAAAAUUGUGUUGUUUACCAGAGUCAACUCAGUUGUGAAGAACAUGACUGAAAAUGAGAUGUUAUUUACAAUAAAUAUAUGACCUUUCAUUUCAUCUCUCUUAUGUGCAAUGAAAUAGUUAACAAUGCUGACAUUUAAUUACCGUCCCAUAGUUAGCACUGCACCAAGAUGAGCUCCAUAGCUCACAUCUCUUGUUCUCUGCAGGCCCACAGAGAUUGAGGCCUUGCUGCACUAAUUAUCCCCUUUUCUACCCACAGCAAGCUGUCAGUUCAGCUCAACUGUAAGAUGAUAUUUCACCUCGAGAGCUGUAGCUCUGCAAUGUUAAUUAACUGGAUAGUUUCAGAGCCUUUGAGUAGAAAAAUGCUGAUGUGGAUGCCAUAUAUCUGCCGUAAUGCACUGGUUAUAAACCAAUUGGUUAUCACAGAGGAAACAGCAGCAAAUGACUUUUGGCCACUUUUCAGCAUGAAAAGACCAUUCCAGAAAACAGUGAUGUGGUGAGAGGUCUGAAUUAAAACUUGCAGCACUAAACAUUUUCUCUUUAACAGAAAUGGAAUACUGUGAUCUGUGAUGGUUUUUGGCAGGGAGAGAACUAAUUUUCUUUAUAGUGGUUUCCAUGGAGCUGGAUUUGUGCUGGAAUCUGUGUUGACAUCACAGGGAUGUUUUGAGCAAUGCUUACAAAGAGCCAAGGCCUUUUCCGAUUCUCCCAUCACCACUGAGUGGACAGCGGUCCAAAAGAGCUGGGAGGGAACACAGCCGGGACAGCUGACUGCAGCUGGUCAUAGGGAUAUUUCAGACCAUGUGGCAUCAUGCCUUGAAGCAUGAAAACCCAUUGUGUUGGGGAAUUUUGCAUUGCAAUGAGCUGCUUGGGAGAUGCUGAGUUGAAAGUCAAAUAAAAUGCUGCUGCUUUAAUAUGUAAAUGAGAGUGAACGCAGUUCAAUAUGCAUAACACUGUCGUUCUUGCUCAACAUUUGCAAACAUUAUCCAAAAAACCCCCAGCUCCAACACACAGGCGGUUUGAGUGCUUAGGUUUGCUUAGUCAUUUUCAGACGAGGUCAGGCAUACUCUGCAUGAUUUGGAGCUCUGAGGCUCUCAGCGAUGUUAAACUGGGAGUGGAAACACUUUGUUGUACAGUUCUCACAGGCGCUCCUUGAACUCACCCAAAAGCUAUCACUAGACAAAAGGCUUCUUUCGGUUCCGCUCCUGGUAAAAUCAUCUGAGUUUAAAACACACACCUCACAUUUUCUUGAAAUGCAAUUGAGGAGGAAAAUACUUGUAAAUUAAAAACACCUCCAGAGUAAUAAUGCAUCACAGAAUACUCUUAACAGCUGAAGUGUCUUCACCCAAAGGAUAUAAAUGCUCAAAAUGAAAAUGCAAAAA